This is a long non-coding RNA of Pomacea canaliculata, 817 nucleotides long. RefSeq lists it as uncharacterized. NCBI's taxonomy places the organism in Eukaryota, Metazoa, Mollusca, Gastropoda, Architaenioglossa, Ampullariidae. The record is from RefSeq and is a predicted model, not a curated record. The transcript has 2 exons.
AUAUUUGUGCAGUGUUGGAAUUAAGUAUAAAUCUUUGCCCCAAUGUCACACACAGACAACACGAAUUUUCAUAAAUACGAAAGAAAUUUUAAAUUCCUAUGACUUUAGUUCUUCUUUCACAACAUAAGCCAGCCAGAUUAAAUAUUACUGCUACUUUGACAUCAAACAUGUAAUGCCAUAAAUCGUGAGUAAAUGCGCGUCUUUUGGGAAAUAUUCGUGACUGACUUGUGUGGGUUUUUUUUUCUAUCGUUCAACUAAGGCUCGAACUUGUACUACUGGACUGCUGGCAGACGAUUUUUUUCUCCCCCAGUUAACUACUAAAACGAGGCAUGAUACUACAAAGCUUCCGGUUUAGUCACAUUCUUUGUUUAGGCUCGCCGAGACUAACAGCGGAGAACUUCGCAAGAUAUUAAGCUUUGGUUUUGGCAGACAAACAGCAAUCCACCUAUACACAUCCAUGAAUGGCCAGAGGUUCAGCAGCGUCGGAGAAAAAAAAAGAAGAAGGUAAUCCGCCUAAUGGACCCGGAGCAAGUCGACCUGCUCGUGGGGCCGACCAGCUGUCGUUGGGGACAGUCUUGUGCACCCACGAACUUGGAUCAAAUAUAUCCUCUUAAAUUACCUGCUCAGAGGUCUCUGUGACGGUCCAUUCUUUCGUGGUCGCGGCCAUAACUUAUCAGGAGUUUGAUCUGAGCCAUUCCGAAAAGCUGAGACAGGUAUACAGAUGGCAGUCACCAUUUAGAAGAUGAAUAGUGAUAUUGUCACUUUCCAUAUCACUGAUGCUUAUAUCAUGGUCACUCACCAUGGUGAUUCCUUUAUU